AGACUCUCGGCAACGGAUAUCUCGGCUCUUGCAUCGAUGAAGAACGUAGCGAAAUGCGAUACUUGGUGUGAAUUGCAGAAUCCCGUGAACCAUCGAGUUUUUGAACGCAAGUUGCGCCCGAAGCCAUUAGGCAGAGGGCACGCCUGCCUGGGUGUUGCACA
Molecule: ribosomal RNA, 161 nt
Filed under: Argyrolobium armindae
Lineage: Eukaryota; Viridiplantae; Streptophyta; Magnoliopsida; Fabales; Fabaceae
Description: 5.8S ribosomal RNA
Rfam family: 5.8S ribosomal RNA
About the family: 5.8S ribosomal RNA (5.8S rRNA) is a component of the large subunit of the eukaryotic ribosome. It is transcribed by RNA polymerase I as part of the 45S precursor that also contains 18S and 28S rRNA.
Source: RNAcentral